RNAcentral lists this ribosomal RNA (467 nucleotides) under uncultured bacterium. RNAcentral describes it as "partial 16S ribosomal RNA". It matches the Rfam family "Bacterial small subunit ribosomal RNA", at positions 28 to 506 of the family's 1533-position model. The record is from RNAcentral.
GAUGAACGCUGGCGGCGUGCUUAACACAUGCAAGUCGAACGGUGAAGGCGGAGCUUGCUCUGCUGGAUCAGUGGCGAACGGGUGAGUAACACGUGAGCAAUCUGCCCCUGACUCUGGGAUAAGCGCUGGAAACGGCGUCUAAUACUGGAUACGAGCUGCGAAGGCAUCUUCAGCAGCUGGAAAGAAUUUCGGUCAGGGAUGAGCUCGCGGCCUAUCAGCUUGUUGGUGAGGUAAUGGCUCACCAAGGCGUCGACGGGUAGCCGGCCUGAGAGGGUGACCGGCCACACUGGGACUGAGACACGGCCCAGACUCCUACGGGAGGCAGCAGUGGGGAAUAUUGCACAAUGGGCGAAAGCCUGAUGCAGCAACGCCGCGUGAGGGACGACGGCCCUCGGGUUGUAAACCUCUUUUAGCAGGGAAGAAGCGAAAGUGACGGUACCUGCAGAAAAAACGCCGGCUAACUACGU